RNAcentral lists this unclassified non-coding RNA (258 nucleotides) under Hevea brasiliensis (rubber tree). Lineage: Eukaryota; Viridiplantae; Streptophyta; Magnoliopsida; Malpighiales; Euphorbiaceae. The record is from RNAcentral.
AAACUCUUAAAUUUUCUAAUUUUAUAUGGAAUAUAAUUCUUAAAUUGUAUUAGAAAUAUCAUUUUCCUAUCCUGCAUUAUUCUUCCCUGGUUGGAAAAAACUCGUCUUCGAGUCUUGAAGUGCGAGAGAAUCAGAAUCAGAAUUAGAAUUAGAAACUGCAUUAGGAGAAUAAUCAACUUUUCAUUCUUGAAUGGUAGCAACAAGUUUGAAAUCAAACACUUCAUACUUUCCUUAGCAUCUCUAAAAGGAUCUGGACAA